This 77-nucleotide transfer RNA is filed under the name Cronobacter phage LPCS28. RNAcentral describes it as "tRNA-Lys". It matches the Rfam family "tRNA". From Rfam's summary of the family: Transfer RNA (tRNA) molecules are approximately 80 nucleotides in length. Their secondary structure includes four short double-helical elements and three loops (D, anti-codon, and T loops). Further hydrogen bonds mediate the characteristic L-shaped molecular structure. tRNAs have two regions of fundamental functional importance: the anti-codon, which is responsible for specific mRNA codon recognition, and the 3' end, to which the tRNAs corresponding amino acid is attached (by aminoacyl-tRNA synthetases). tRNAs cope with the degeneracy of the genetic code in two manners: having more than one tRNA (with a specific anti-codon) for a particular amino acid; and 'wobble' base-pairing, i.e. permitting non-standard base-pairing at the 3rd anti-codon position. Lineage: Duplodnaviria; Heunggongvirae; Uroviricota; Caudoviricetes; Pantevenvirales; Straboviridae. The record is from RNAcentral.
CGGUCAUUAGCUCAACGGUUGAGAGCAAUCGACUUUUAAUCGAUAGGUUUAGGGUUCGAAUCCCUAAUGACCGACCA